AAAGACGAGAAUCAGGUAUGCGUAGUUCGGGCAGAUUGGAUACGCGCGAGAAUUUUGUCUUUUUUUUUUGAAAAAUGAUGAAACAUGUAAAAUAUUUUUAGAUUCUCUUUUCCCUUUUUUUUUGAUUUUUUGAUUUUCAGAAUGACGAAAAAGUGCAAAAUCUUUUUUUGGCAUUUUUCAUGUAUUUUUUUCUUUUUCUUAACAAAAAUGUGAAAAAAAACAUAACGGUGCCCUACUUGCUUUAUUUUCAUACUUCACCCUCUUUUCUCUUUUUUUCAUUUGCCCUCAACUAUCAUUAGUCCGCCAAAUGACCCUUUUACCCUUGAGGAUAUGCAACAUGUAGCACAUAGGAUGCAGCAAGAUGGUCUGUUAUUUUGGGUACACAUGUCCUAGACGGGCCCAACCCCUGUGUUGAGUCCCCAAAGUCAAAUGCACAUGAUGCAAACAAACGUUCCUACUAGGGAUCCGGCAUGAGGUUAUGUUAUUCUAAGUUUAAACCUGGGGUUGUGUUCUUGACCUGGCUUACCCGACCGGACUAAUGGGGUCGAAGAGGGGGCAACGUACCGGGAGCACUAAAGACUACUCGGCCUUGCUGCUGGCCCAGCCUCGUUCUAUUUGGUAUAAUUUCUACAAAAAAAGCGGACCACACGAACGUGUGCACCAUUUUCAGAAGACAGUUAUAUACAAUUCAAACAAUAUUAAACUGGUAAAUAGAUAGCAUUUAGCACAAAAGGUUCACAGAAUACAGUAAUAUGAACAACAAAUAAAGCCAAGUAAACAUCAUAUUAACAAGCUCGAAUUCUUGAACCCUGAACCAGAGAUUCUGGGUUCCUGUCCCCAGCAGAGUCACCAGAGCUGUCACACCUCCUUUUCACUACACCGAAAGGGUGUAAGGGAGUUUUUUCCAAUUUAAGUGACAAUCGAAACGGGAUUAUUUAUAUUAAAUUCAGAGUUGCCACUUGGGAUAAUUUAUGGUGUCCCAAGUCACUGGUUUAAAAUCCCGAAUCGAGGAAAGUUAACUCUAUUUACGGUCUGCGAACACAGAAAACCAAGUAAGGAAUUCUGUUAACGGGAGAAGGUGUUAGGCAUUCCCGAGUUUCGUGGUUCUAGCACGGUCACUUUGAUCAUACUUGGCUUAAACAAAUUGUUUGAUUACUGAUUUUAGAACCUAUGUGCAUUUGCCUUUUUUAAUUAAGAAAUUAUCUUGAAAUGGGUCACACGUACGUGUACCCAUUUGUUUGGCGCGUCAAAAAUCAUGUCACGCGAACGUGUCCACAAUUAAUAACGCUUUAUUAUUAAAAAAAAAUUGGCCAAAGUUGUGUGAACGCAUACUACGGUUUUGUUUUUAGAAUCGUAAUUAUGUCACGCGAACGUGUCCACAAUCACAAUGAUACAUUAAACGGGCCUAAAGAAACCACGAGCAUUUUUCAUUUUUAUAUCUAGGUUAUGAAAUUAAUACGAGGGUCAUGAAUGAUUAAAUUGUGGAUGGCACACCUCGGGCUAUGUGAACUAUAUUUCAAUUAGUGGCCUAUUACAAGAAUUUUAUUAUUAAGAAGGUUUGAUCGAAGUUGCACGAACGCAUACUCCGAAUUAGUUUUCAGAAUCGUAAUUAUGUCAGGCGAACGUGUACACAAUCGCGAUGAUAUAUUAAAUCGUGCCUAAAGCAAGCUACGAGGUUCAAAGCAUUUUUCUAUAUUAGUAAAGAUAUAGAUAUGAGGGCCAUAGACUAUGUGAUAGGAGGGCCAGAGCUGUCACACUAUUCGAGCCAACAUCUACAAAUUGUAUAUGGGAAAUCAAAAUUUCUUACACAAAAUAUAGCUACUUUUAACGAGUGUCAACUUUUAAUUGAAUUGGGUAACUAUUUGAGACAAUACUCAAAAGCAAAUCCUAUAAGGUAAUGCCUUUUUGAAAUGAUAGCAUAUCAAAAGGAUGAUUGUGGUGAUUUUCUACUCUCUUGCAUUAUAACUCUCUCAGUGAAACAAGUUACCUGUAUAUCAGUAGUAUCAUAAGUCAUAUCUCACUUUCCAUUUCCCACUAUUAUUGACAUGGAGUGUCCAAUUGUUUUCUCUGAUCUGAAAGUAAGGAACCUUUUCAACGACUUCAUAUCCAACUUUGAGCCUCACAUCUUGGUCUUUUUUCACAUUCAUGAUGUUCCAAGUAAAUUCAGCAGCAACUCUUGAGAAAUAUAAAUCAGAUCUCUCACUAAUAUACACUUCUAUGCACUAAAGUUUUUCAUUUCCAGAAAUUAAACUAUAUUAUGAUGUAUAUAGAGAUUCAGAUAUGAAAAUACUAAACCACAAAUAAUGUAUUCACAAUGUGUAACUUCAAAUCCAUGUCAUCAAAACCAUGUAUAUGAAAUUAAAAGGAGAUAGCAAUUAACGAUAGCAAGAAUUUUAUAAAUAGAGCAUUGUAAUAGACAGAAAUAGCAAAUGUAUAUGAAAGAAUUGAAACUCAAACCUCAAACCGGAAACAAAGAACAACGAUCUCAAAUCGAACCCCGAUGGAACUCAAGCUGGACCGGAACAUAACAGAAACUCUUCCUCAAAUCCCUUAAGGUAUAUAUCAUUGCCAGCAGUUUCAUCCUCGGCAUUCAAAUCGCCAACAAAGGAUCCCAAAUUUUGGCUCAUUAUUUGCCCCUCAUUCUAAAAGACGGAAGGGAGAGGAUCUGAAAAUACACACAACUAUUUCAUUCCCUAAUACACUUACUCAUGAUUACACAAAAAGAAAACUGGAUUUUCAAAAAAAGAGAAGGGGUGGGCAACGGCUAUUAGCCUUUGGAGAUCAGGUGGCCGCUGCUACUGGUUUCCGGCGAACAGCGAGGUGGGGUUGCACUGGUUUCGUCUUGGUGUUAAAAGUUUAUGAGCGAGGAUCUCAUUUUUUGUUCUGCCGCUGCUUAGGUCUUUUGGGUUGGAGUCCUCUCUAGGUCUAGGUCUUGUUGUUGUAGAAGAAAGGGCAAUGACUUAAGAUUUUUUGUGUCUCAAGAAGAAGAAGCUCAAGGCUCGCUGGGUGGGGGGGGUUUGAAGAAGACGGGUUUCACGGGGUGGGGUCUAAUUUGCUGAAAACGGCGCUCAUCAGGUGUAUAGGUCUUUAGGUCUAUGUUG
This 3101-nucleotide long non-coding RNA is filed under the name Nicotiana tabacum (common tobacco). RNAcentral's name for it is "long non-coding RNA (NTAB_LNC004945)". The record is from RNAcentral. Lineage: Eukaryota; Viridiplantae; Streptophyta; Magnoliopsida; Solanales; Solanaceae.